Molecule: ribosomal RNA, 503 nt
Filed under: uncultured bacterium
Lineage: Bacteria
Description: partial 16S ribosomal RNA
Rfam family: Bacterial small subunit ribosomal RNA
Source: RNAcentral
AUUGAACGCUGGCGGCAGGCUUAACACAUGCAAGUCGAGCGGGGUGAUGGUGCUUGCACUAUCACUUAGCGGCGGACGGGUGAGUAAUGCUUAGGAAUCUGCCUAUUAGUGGGGGACAACAUCUCGAAAGGGAUGCUAAUACCGCAUACGCCCUACGGGAGAAAGCAGGGGAUCACUUGUGACCUUGCGCUAAUAGACGAGCCUAAGUCGGAUUAGCUAGUUGAUGGGGUAAAGGCCUACCAAGGCGACGAUCUGUAGCGGGUCUGAGAGGAUGAGCCGCCACACUGGGACUGGGACACGGCCCAGACUCCUACGGGAGGCAGCAGUGGGGAAUAUUGGACAAUGGGGGGAACCCUGAUCCAGCCAUGCCGCGUGUGUGAAGAAGGCCUUAUGGUUGUAAAGCACUUUAAGCGAGGAGGAGGCUCUUUUGGUUAAUACCCAAGAUGAGUGGACGUUACUCGCAGAAUAAGCACCGGCUAACUCUGUGCCAGCCGCCGCGGUAA